Molecule: ribosomal RNA, 453 nt
Filed under: Cryptosporidium sp. CRH74
Lineage: Eukaryota; Apicomplexa; Conoidasida; Eucoccidiorida; Cryptosporidiidae
Description: SSU rRNA
Rfam family: Eukaryotic small subunit ribosomal RNA
Source: RNAcentral
UUUACGGAUCACACUAUGGUGACAUAUCAUUCAAGUUUCUGACCUAUCAGCUUAAGACGGUAGGGUAUUGGCCUACCGUGGCUAUGACGGGUAACGGGGAAUUAGGGUUCGAUUCCGGAGAGGGAGCCUGAGAAACGGCUACCACAUCUAAGGAAGGCAGCAGGCGCGCAAAUUACCCAAUCCUAAUACAGGGAGGUAGUGACAAGAAAUAACAAUACAGAGCCUUACGGUUUUGUAAUUGGAAUGAGUUAAGUAUAAACCCCUUAACAAGUAUCAAUUGGAGGGCAAGUCUGGUGCCAGCAGCCGCGGUAAUUCCAGCUCCAAUAGCGUAUAUUAAAGUUGUUGCAGUUAAAAAGCUCGUAGUUAAUUUUCUGUUAAUUUUUAUAUACAAUGCUACGGUAUUUAUAUAAUAUUAUUUUUAAUUCAUAUUACUUUUUAGUAUAUGAAACUUUA